Molecule: small RNA, 76 nt
Filed under: Sphingomonas japonica
Lineage: Bacteria; Pseudomonadati; Pseudomonadota; Alphaproteobacteria; Sphingomonadales; Sphingomonadaceae
Description: suhB
Rfam family: Makes More Granules Regulator RNA (mmgR)
About the family: SuhB later renamed mmgR (makes more granules regulator) was a putative non-coding RNA found multiple times in the Agrobacterium tumefaciens genome and related alpha-proteobacteria. Other non-coding RNAs uncovered in the same analysis include: speF, ybhL, metA, and serC.
Source: RNAcentral
AUAGCGGGCCUUUCAGGCAUCCUCUCCUAAAACUUUCACGGUCGGUCCUUCGGGACCGGCCUUUUUUUUGCCCAUG